UACGGAGGGUGCAAACGUUGCUCGGAAUCAUUGGGCGUAAAGCGCACGUAGGCGGCUUGUUAAGUCGGGUGUGAAAGCCCUGGGCUCAACCCAGGAAGUGCACUCGAAACUGGCAAGCUUGAAUAUGGAAGAGGGUCGCGGAAUUCCCGGUGUAGAGGUGAAAUUCGUAGAUAUCGGGAGGAACACCAGUGGCGAAGGCGGCGACCUGGGCCAAUAUUGACGCUGAGGUGCGAAAGCGUGGGGAGCAAACAGG
Molecule: ribosomal RNA, 253 nt
Filed under: uncultured bacterium
Lineage: Bacteria
Description: partial 16S ribosomal RNA
Rfam family: Bacterial small subunit ribosomal RNA
Source: RNAcentral